GCACCUUAUAAAGCGGGUGCCGGGAUUGGCGUCCUGGAGAAGGCUACCGCGUACAACCGCGUAGAUGCGGUUUUUUU
Molecule: small RNA, 77 nt
Filed under: Escherichia coli
Lineage: Bacteria; Pseudomonadati; Pseudomonadota; Gammaproteobacteria; Enterobacterales; Enterobacteriaceae
Also listed under: 2 other names
Description: isrK Hfq binding RNA
Rfam family: isrK Hfq binding RNA
Source: RNAcentral